GCGUUCUAGAGGUUGGCCGGGUGGCAAC
This 28-nucleotide small RNA is filed under the name Bombyx mori (domestic silkworm). RNAcentral's name for it is "ovarian small RNA-17036". Lineage: Eukaryota; Metazoa; Arthropoda; Insecta; Lepidoptera; Bombycidae. The record is from RNAcentral.